AGAAUUUUAAUGGUCGAACAGACCAACCCUUAAAGACUUCUGCACCUUUAGGAUAUUCUGGUCCAACAUCGAGGUCACAAACCUUUUUUUCGAUUAGAGCUCUCAAAAAAGAUAAUGCUGUUAUCCCUACGGUAACUAAUUUCAUCAAUCAUAAUUUCCGGAUCAAAACAAGUUUGUCUUAGUCAUUUAAAGAAGUUUUUUUUGUUCCUUGGUCGCCCCAACCAAAAUUUUUAAUAAUUUUUUUUUACAAGUAUAAUUGAAUUUUAUUAAUUUUUUUAAAGCUCGAUAGGGUCUUCUUGUCUUUUAAUUUAAUGCAGACCUUUUCAUCUGCAUGUAAAAUUCUAUUUAAUCAGAAAGAGACAGUUUUGCUCUUGUGAGACCAUUCAUUCCAGUCCUCAAUUAUAGGACAAAUUAUUAUGCUACCUUAGCACAGUUAAGAUACUGCGGCCGUUGAAAAAAAUCACUGGGCAGGCCGGACUCUUUAUGUUAAUAUGUCAAAGAGCC
This 504-nucleotide ribosomal RNA is filed under the name Crepidula aff. onyx RC. Its description in RNAcentral is "partial 16S ribosomal RNA". The record is from RNAcentral. Lineage: Eukaryota; Metazoa; Mollusca; Gastropoda; Littorinimorpha; Calyptraeidae.